This 363-nucleotide ribosomal RNA is filed under the name Lactiplantibacillus plantarum. Its description in RNAcentral is "Lactobacillus plantarum partial 23S ribosomal RNA". It matches the Rfam family "Bacterial large subunit ribosomal RNA", at positions 2151 to 2513 of the family's 2925-position model. The record is from RNAcentral. Lineage: Bacteria; Bacillati; Bacillota; Bacilli; Lactobacillales; Lactobacillaceae.
GAGCCAUAGAAGUCGGAACGCUAGUUUCGACGGAGGCGUUGGUGGGAUACUACCCUUGCAUUAUGACCACUCUAACCCGCAGCACUGAACGUGCUGGGAGACAGUGUCAGGUGGGCAGUUUGACUGGGGCGGUCGCCUCCUAAAAGGUAACGGAGGCGCCCAAAGGUUCCCUCAGAAUGGUUGGAAAUCAUUCGCAGAGUGUAAAGGCACAAGGGAGCUUGACUGCGAGACAGACAGGUCGAGCAGGGACGAAAGUCGGGCUUAGUGAUCCGGUGGUACCGUAUGGAAGGGCCAUCGCUCAACGGAUAAAAGCUACCCUGGGGAUAACAGGCUUAUCUCCCCCAAGAGUCCACAUCGACGGGG